UAAUAAAAUGCUCCGCAGGGCGCAGCUUGAUACGAUUGCAGAGGUCGAACCCUGAACAGUUGGGGCAAGUAUGGACACAACAUUCAAGCUUGAUACAGCUCUGAAUUUGGAUUGUGAUUAAAUAUUUGACACAGCAUAGGUUUCUGACACAGAAUAAAUGUGGUCUAAGAACUUAAAAAUUUUAAAUUGGACAUUCACCUAUUAUGGUCCAAUAUCCAAAAUCUAAAUCCAUGGUUAGAUUCAGCAUAUCAAAGAACCCCAAGAAUUCAAUUUUUGAUGAAAUCAAACAAAGUUUAAUUUUGGACCCUUUUGACCUCAAUGUGGACAAAGUUGAUAACGGGGCCCAAAAAUCAAAAUACAUGGUUAGAUUCAGCAUAUCAAAGAGCCCCAUAUAUUCAA
Molecule: long non-coding RNA, 399 nt
Organism: Mytilus californianus (California mussel)
Lineage: Eukaryota; Metazoa; Mollusca; Bivalvia; Mytilida; Mytilidae
Exons: 2
Source: RefSeq, a predicted model, not a curated record